AUUGAACGCUGGCGGCAUGCUUUACACAUGCAAGUCGAACGGCAGCGCGGGCUUCGGCCUGGCGGCGAGUGGAGAACGGGUGAGUAAUGCAUCGGAACGUGCCCAGUAGUGGGGGAUAGCCCGGCGAAAGCCGGAUUAAUACCGCAUACGACCUGAGGGUGAAAGCGGGGGACCGAAAGGCCUCGCGCUAUUGGAGCGGCCGAUGUCGGAUUAGCUAGUUGGUGGGGUAAAGGCUUACCAAGGGGACGAUCCGUAGCUGGUCUGAGAGGACGACCAGCCACACUGGGACUGAGACACGGCCCAGACUCCUACGGGAGGCAGCAGUGGGGAAUUUUGGACAAUGGGGGCAACCCUGAUCCAGCCAUGCCGCGUGCGGGAAGAAGGCCUUCGGGUUGUAAACCGCUUUUGUUCGGGAAGAAAUCCUCUGGGCUAAUACCCCGGGGGGAUGACGGUACCGGAAGAAUAAGCACCGGCUAACUACGUG
This 484-nucleotide ribosomal RNA is filed under the name uncultured bacterium. Its description in RNAcentral is "partial 16S ribosomal RNA". It matches the Rfam family "Bacterial small subunit ribosomal RNA", at positions 29 to 507 of the family's 1533-position model. The record is from RNAcentral.